AGUGAACGCUGGCGGUAGGCCUAACACAUGCAAGUCGAACGGCAGCACAGAGGAGCUUGCUCCUUGGGUGGCGAGUGGCGGACGGGUGAGGAAUACAUCGGAAUCUACUCUGUCGUGAGGGAUAACGUAGGGAAACUUACGCUAAUACCGCAUACGACCUACGGGUGAAAGCAGGGGACCUUCGGGCCUUGCGCGAUUGAAUGAGCCGAUGUCGGAUUAGCUAGUUGGCGGGGUAAAGGCCCACCAAGGCGACGAUCCGUAGCUGGUCUGAGAGGAUGAUCAGCCACACUGGAACUGAGACACGGUCCAGACUCCUACGGGAGGCAGCAGUGGGGAAUAUUGGACAAUGGGCGCAAGCCUGAUUCAGCCAUACCGCGUGGGUGAAGAAGGCCUUCGGGUUGUAAAGCCCUUUUGUUGGGAAAGAAAUCCAGCUGGUUAAUACCCGGUUGGGAUGACGGUACCAAAAGAAUAAGCACCGGCUAACUUCGUGCCAGCCGCCGCCGUAA
RNAcentral lists this ribosomal RNA (506 nucleotides) under uncultured bacterium. RNAcentral's name for it is "partial 16S ribosomal RNA". It matches the Rfam family "Bacterial small subunit ribosomal RNA", at positions 29 to 523 of the family's 1533-position model. The record is from RNAcentral.